UGUUGACGCAAGCCGAGCGGUGGCCAAUCAAAUAAACCAAUAGGCGGGGUAACCGUUACAGGAGCAACGCUGCCUGCAGCCGGCCAUCAUAACGGACACAGAUUUCAAAGCGGGUGAAAGAUACUAGUUGCCAACCGCCAAUAAAAGUUAAAGAAGAAGAAAGAACAAGAUUACUAUGUGUCAGGUCUGUGUUCAUCAAGACUUGGAAGACUCUGGAGUAGGACAAAAAGGAUGAUGGGGUGUAUAUUCCAGUAGACACGUAAAACAUCAAGUGGGCUGCUGUAAUGUUUACGUCUAUGGAAAGAGGAGCUGAGAAGCAGUACUUCUUGUUGAGGACAAUCUUGAACACUUUCUCAUACACAUUUAUUAUUAUUAUUAGUGUUGGAUUGUUUUUGUUUCAAUUUUAUUAAUUGUAUUGUUUUAAUUUUUCGAUCGAUU
Non-coding RNA from Paramisgurnus dabryanus, 438 nucleotides. Lineage: Eukaryota; Metazoa; Chordata; Actinopteri; Cypriniformes; Cobitidae. The record is from RefSeq and is a predicted model, not a curated record.